RNAcentral lists this ribosomal RNA (468 nucleotides) under uncultured bacterium. RNAcentral describes it as "partial 16S ribosomal RNA". It matches the Rfam family "Bacterial small subunit ribosomal RNA", at positions 28 to 507 of the family's 1533-position model. The record is from RNAcentral.
GACGAACGCUGGCGGCGUGCUUAACACAUGCAAGUCGAACGGAAAGGCCCUGCUUUUGUGGGGUGCUCGAGUGGCGAACGGGUGGGUAACACGUGAGUAACCUGCCCUUGACUUUGGGAUAACUUCAGGAAACUGGGGCUAAUACCGGAUAGGAGCUCCUGCUGCAUGGUGGGGGUUGGAAAGUUUCGGCGGUUGGGGAUGGACUCGCGGCUUAUCAGCUUGUUGGUGGGGUAGUGGCUUACCAAGGCUUUGACGGGUAGCCGGCCUGAGAGGGUGACCGGCCACAUUGGGACUGAGAUACGGCCCAGACUCCUACGGGAGGCAGCAGUGGGGAAUAUUGCACAAUGGGCGGAAGCCUGAUGCAGCAACGCCGCGUGCGGGAUGACGGCCUUCGGGUUGUAAACCGCUUUCGCCUGUGGCGUAGCGUGAGUGACGGUAAUGGGUAAAGAAGCACCGGCUAACUACGUG